UGGGGAAUAUUGGACAAUGGGCGCAAGCCUGAUCCAGCCAUGCCGCGUGAGUGAUGAAGGCCCUAGGGUUGUAAAGCUCUUUUGUGCGGGAAGAUAAUGACGGUACCGCAAGAAUAAGCCCCGGCUAACUUCGUGCCAGCAGCCGCGGUAAUACGAAGGGGGCUAGCGUUGCUCGGAAUCACUGGGCGUAAAGGGUGCGUAGGCGGGUCUUUAAGUCAGGGGUGAAAUCCUGGAGCUCAACUCCAGAACUGCCUUUGAUACUGAGGAUCUUGAGUUCGGGAGAGGUGAGUGGAACUGCGAGUGUAGAGGUGAAAUUCGUAGAUAUUCGCAAGAACACCUGUGGCGAAGGCGGCUCACUGGCCCGAUACUGACGCUGAGGCACGAAAGCGUGGGGAGCAAACA
This 402-nucleotide ribosomal RNA is filed under the name uncultured bacterium. RNAcentral describes it as "bacterial SSU rRNA". It matches the Rfam family "Bacterial small subunit ribosomal RNA", at positions 355 to 774 of the family's 1533-position model. The record is from RNAcentral.